This 466-nucleotide ribosomal RNA is filed under the name uncultured bacterium. RNAcentral's name for it is "SSU rRNA". It matches the Rfam family "Bacterial small subunit ribosomal RNA", at positions 26 to 518 of the family's 1533-position model. The record is from RNAcentral.
AGGAUUAACGCUGGCGGCGUGCCUAACACAUGCAAGUCGAACGAGGUAGCAAUACCUAGUGGCAGACGGGUGAGUAACGCGUGGUCAACCUACCCUCGAGUGGGGGAUAACUAGCCGAAAGGCUAGCUAAUACCGCAUAAUACCGUAGCCGGCAUCGGCAUCGGUUGAAAGCAGCAAUGCACUCGGGGACGGGACCGCGUCCGAUUAGUUAGUUGGUGGGGUAACGGCCUACCAAGACUCCGAUCGGUAGCUGGUUUGAGAGAACGACCAGCCACACUGGGACUGAGAACGGCCCAGACUCCUACGGGAGGCAGCAGUGAGGAAUUUUCCGCAAUGGGCGAAAGCCUGACGGAGCGACGCCGCGUGUGGGAAGAAGGCCUUCGGGUCGUAAACCACUGUCGAGGGGGACGAUACUGACGGUACCCCUGGAGGAACGCCCCGGCUAACCGUACGUGCCAGCAGCCGC